UCCAGACUCCUACGGGAGGCAGCAGUGGGGGAUAUUGCACAAUGGGGGGAACCCUGAUGCAGCGACGCCGCGUGGGUGAAGGAGUGCUUCGGCAUGUAAAGCCCUAUCGGCAGGGAAGAAGCAAGACGGUACCUGACUAAGAAGCCCCGGCUAACUACGUGCCAGCAGCCGCGGUAAUACGUAGGGGGCGAGCGUUAUCCGGAUUCACUGGGUGUAAAGGGAGCGUAGACGGCAAUACAAGUCGGAAGUGAAAUACCCGGGCUCAACCUGGGAACUGCUUUGGAAACUGUAUGGCUGGAGUGCUGGAGAGGUAAGCGGAAUUCCUAGUGUAGCGGUGAAAUGCGUAGAUAUUAGGAGGAACACCAGUGGCGAAGGCGGCUUACUGGACAGUAACUGACGUUGAGGCUCGAAAGCGUGGGGAGCAAACAGGAUUAGAUACCCUGGUA
Molecule: ribosomal RNA, 446 nt
Filed under: uncultured bacterium
Lineage: Bacteria
Description: bacterial SSU rRNA
Rfam family: Bacterial small subunit ribosomal RNA
Source: RNAcentral